RNAcentral lists this ribosomal RNA (394 nucleotides) under uncultured Glomus. RNAcentral's name for it is "SSU rRNA". It matches the Rfam family "Eukaryotic small subunit ribosomal RNA", at positions 569 to 970 of the family's 1831-position model. Lineage: Eukaryota; Fungi; Glomeromycota; Glomeromycetes; Glomerales; Glomeraceae. The record is from RNAcentral.
AGCAGCCGCAGUAAUUCCAGCUCCAAUAGCGUAUAUUAAAGUUGUUGCAGUUAAAAAGCUCAUAGUUGAAUUUCGGAAUCAGUACGCCAGUCAUGCUUCGGUAUGUACUAGUGUCACUGAUUCCUUCCUUCUGACGAACCGUCAUGCCAUUAAUUUAGUGUGAUGUGGAAUCAGGACUGUUACUUUGAAAAAAUUGAGUGUUUAAAGAGGCUCGCGCUUGAAUACAUUAGCAUGGAAUAAUGAAAUAGGACGUUUGAUCUUAUUUUGUUGGUUUCUAGGAUCGAUGUAAUGAUUAAUAGGGAUAGUUGGGGGCAUUAGUAUUCAAUUGUCAGAGGUGAAAUUCUUGGAUUUAUUGAAGACUAACUACUGCGAAAGCAUUUGCCAAGGAUGUUUU